GAGUCGAUGAUGAUCAGCUAGUCAUCUGGGAACUGCCUGAUGGAGGGGGAUACUACUGGAAACGGUAGCUAAUACCGCAUAACGUCGCAAGACCAAAGAGGGGGACCUUCGGGCCUCUUGCCAUCGGAUGUGCCCAGAUGGGAUUAGCUUGUUGGUGGGGUAACGGCUCACCAAGGCGACGAUCCCUAGCUGGUCUGAGAGGAUGACCAGCCACACUGGAACUGAGACACGGUCCAGACUCCUACGGGAGGCAGCAGUGGGGAAUAUUGCACAAUGGGCGCAAGCCUGAUGCAGCCAUGCCGCGUGUAUGAAGGAGGCCUACGGGUUGUAAAGUACUUUCAGCGGGGAGGAAGGGAGUAAAGUUAAUACCUUUGGUCAUUGACGUUACCCGCAGAAGAAGCACCGGCUAACUCCGUGCCAGCAGCGCG
This 428-nucleotide ribosomal RNA is filed under the name Escherichia coli. RNAcentral's name for it is "bacterial SSU rRNA". It matches the Rfam family "Bacterial small subunit ribosomal RNA", at positions 89 to 519 of the family's 1533-position model. The record is from RNAcentral. Lineage: Bacteria; Pseudomonadati; Pseudomonadota; Gammaproteobacteria; Enterobacterales; Enterobacteriaceae.